This is a non-coding RNA of Pogona vitticeps (central bearded dragon), 805 nucleotides long. The record is from RefSeq and is a predicted model, not a curated record. NCBI's taxonomy places the organism in Eukaryota, Metazoa, Chordata, Lepidosauria, Squamata, Agamidae.
GAGAUUGCUUAUGUUACUUCAAUAAGCCCUAACUACUUUUAUUUGUUAGGGAGGACAAACAAUUUCUUCCUUGACAACUGGGUGAUCGCACAGAGUUUCUCGAACCCAUCAGAAAACACACGUUCCAGAAUGCUUGCCUCAUGAAUACAUCCGAUAGGCCUGCUAUGUAUUUGGGAAUUAUUACUGAGGAAAAUAGGGUGCCUUCAAAAUAACAACUACUUUUGACUGCAACUAUAUUUCAGAUUCUAUAUCCUUCAAAAUGCAAAGUAAAUGAAUGUCUUCAUAUAAAAGCUGAAAAGAAUUACUUUAGGGGUCUACAGAUCCCAGAUUCAUGGUGAUUCCUCCUGAAAUUGAAGAGAAAGGAAAACAUGUGUGCACAGCUGUUGGAGGCAUUAGAAGCUGAAUUCCAGAGAUUCAUGUUCUAGGCACCUCUCAGCUCCUCUCGGGGUCAGUCCUCAAGGCGUGGACCUUCUGGACUUCCACCUGGGUUCCCUCCUUGAGAUGGCUAGGUUCUUGUAAUUUGGGUUCCCCAGGUGCGGUGUCUGCAAGACUCGUCUCUCCAAAAUCUAUCAGGGAGUUCAGUUCCUGAAUUAGGAAUUCAGUAGAUCCUGGGCCUAGUUGAGAUGGCCUGCUGAGAGGGGCACCUAUGCCUCAGGCCUCCUCCUCACAGGAACUGUUAAAGGAAUUUUGAAGAGAUGUUCUAAAUUUUUAUGGCGGGCUGAUUAAUCUCAAGUUCAUUUUAAUAGUAAUUAAAAUAAUGAUCAAUGUGUAAUAAAACAUAACCAACUACUAUUUUUUUCCAAUA